Molecule: microRNA precursor, 67 nt
Filed under: Schmidtea mediterranea
Lineage: Eukaryota; Metazoa; Platyhelminthes; Tricladida; Dugesiidae
Description: Sme-Mir-71-o3_pre stem-loop
Source: RNAcentral
UGAAAGACAUGGGUAGUGAGAUUAUUUAAAUUAAAUAUUUAAAAUCUCAUUAUUCAAGUUUUUCUUA